AACGGGGGAGUANNCGUGAGUAACCUGCCCUUAACUCUGGGAUAAGCCUGGGAAACUGGGUCUAAUACCGGAUAGGAGCGUCCACCGCAUGGUGGGUGUUGGAAAGAUUUAUCGGUUUUGGAUGGACUCGCGGCCUAUCAGCUUGUUGGUGAGGUAAUGGCUCACCAAGGCGACGACGGGUAGCCGGCCUGAGAGGGUGACCGGCCACACUGGGACUGAGACACGGCCCAGACUCCUACGGGAGGCAGCAGUGGGGAAUAUUGCACAAUGGGCGCAAGCCUGAUGCAGCGACGCCGCGUGAGGGAUGACGGCCUUCGGGUUGUAAACCUCUUUCAGUAGGGAAGAAGCGAAAGUGACGGUACCUGCAGAAGAAGCACCGGCUAACUACGUGCCAGCAGCCGCGGUAAUACGUAGGGUGCGAGCGUUAUCCGGAAUUAUUGGGCGUAAAGAGCUCGUAGGCGGUUUGUCGCGUCUGUCGUGAAAGUCCGGGGCUUAACCCCGGAUCUGCGGUGGGUACGGGCAGACUAGAGUGCAGUAGGGGAGACUGGAAUUCCUGGUGUAGCGGUGGAAUGCGCAGAUAUCAGGAGGAACACCGAUGGCGAAGGCAGGUCUCUGGGCUGUAACUGACGCUGAGGAGCGAAAGCAUGGGGAGCGAACAGGAUUAGAUACCCUGGUAGUCCAUGCCGUAAACGUUGGGCACUAGGUGUGGGGACCAUUCCACGGUUUCCGCGCCGCAGCUAACGCAUUAAGUGCCCCGCCUGGG
This 763-nucleotide ribosomal RNA is filed under the name Micrococcus sp. 63. Its description in RNAcentral is "bacterial SSU rRNA". It matches the Rfam family "Bacterial small subunit ribosomal RNA", at positions 101 to 877 of the family's 1533-position model. The record is from RNAcentral. Lineage: Bacteria; Bacillati; Actinomycetota; Actinomycetes; Micrococcales; Micrococcaceae.